AUUUUCUAUCCCUCUUUUUCUCUUCAAAGUUUAGAACAUCCACAAAUGCAUCUAUUCCGUUUGAUGCUACGUACUGACCCCUGUAGAAGCUUUCAAAGAUAACUUUCAAUGUGUAAACCCCAGUUUUUUACCGAUAAAGUUCAUCUCUGCCAGGCAAAAAAUAAAUAAUUUAUAUUGUUGUGUGUAUAUAUUUAGAUGUUUGUUAGUUGAUAUAAGCAUUUUUACUUACUCUAUGCCUGCAAAUGUAACAAAUGUAUAUCGGAUCACACUCAAUUCUUGAUUCAAGAGUGCUUCGUGGAUGUUUACCACUCUGUUCCAGUAAGGGGAACAAAAAGCGUCUCCAAGCUCUGCACAUCUUUUCUCAGCUCGAAUUUUGCCUGCUUCUAUUGUCUUAUAAAGGAGUUUAUUUAACCCUUUUGGUAGAACUUGUUUUGGAACUGGCUUUGGCUUUGAGUUUUUUCUUCCCCUAGUUGGUUUUUUUUCCUUAUUUUCUUCCACUCUGGGUCCUAGGCUCAAAAGCAGCUCAACAGACUACAAUUCCUCAGCCGUCACCUGAGGGCAUUCAACUCCCGGUUCCUUCUCAACUUCGAUACCCGAAUCGAUUCUGCCAAGUUCAUUGUUUCUUCGAUAACAGUUUCGUUUUCACCAGUUUCUGCAGGCCAAAGUGGUUUGUAAGUGUAUACGCCCGUUUCGACAGCUUGAAUGUUUGCAAUAAGGGUGUCUGUCACUCCUCCAUCAUCUUUAUUUGUCAAUCCUUCAUCAUCUGGCUGCAGUACCCAUAUAGAUACAAAUUAUUGAAUUUUAAUUCAUCAGAAUCAAAAUCGCAUGGUAUACAUGACAUUGUAUGCGAAAUCAAAUGUGAAGUGUUUGGCAGAAAUCGGAUGUGUUUUUUUAAGUAUCGCAUGUGUUUAAGAAAUAUUGAUUUUUAUCAUAAUUUCGCAUGUGUUAAUUUUUGAAAUCGCAUGUAUUACCUUCUGAUGCCAUUUCUACCAAAACAUUGCUUAUUACUUUUUGAGCUUCUUCAUCCUGUCUACCUUCUUCGUUUGUAGUAACUUCAUGAUGAACUUCAGAAGCUGGAUUUUCAGGCUCUUGAUGAAUAGGAGAGGGUGCAGUUUCAUUCUCUUGAAUCGAAUCAGGCGGCACACAAAUGGGAUUAUUCCGAAGCGUCUCAUCCCACUGCUUACAGGCCUCCAUAAUCUCCGGAUCCCAAAAACACUUAGUUCUUGCUUCUGAAACUAAGUUGUUCAUCCCUUGAACAUCUUGAACCAUUUUAAUGUAAUUUUUGACAUUGGCUUUCAUUUUUUUC
Helianthus annuus (common sunflower) is the source of this 1306-nucleotide long non-coding RNA. RefSeq lists it as uncharacterized. The transcript has 3 exons. Lineage: Eukaryota; Viridiplantae; Streptophyta; Magnoliopsida; Asterales; Asteraceae. The record is from RefSeq and is a predicted model, not a curated record.